RNAcentral lists this ribosomal RNA (450 nucleotides) under uncultured Gemmata sp. RNAcentral's name for it is "bacterial SSU rRNA". It matches the Rfam family "Bacterial small subunit ribosomal RNA", at positions 335 to 795 of the family's 1533-position model. Lineage: Bacteria; Pseudomonadati; Planctomycetota; Planctomycetia; Gemmatales; Gemmataceae. The record is from RNAcentral.
UUGCCUACGGGCGGCAGCAGUCGAGGAUCUUCGGCAAUGCGCGCAAGCGCGACCGAGCGACGCCGCGUGGGCGACGAAGGCCUUCGGGUUGUAAAGCCCUGUCGAGGGGGAGAAAGCCGCAAGGCGGAUCCAUCCCUGGAGGAAGCUCGGGCUAAGUUCGUGCCAGCAGCCGCGGUAAGACGAACCGAGCGAACGUUGUUCGGAAUCACUGGGCUUAAAGGGCGCGUAGGCGGGCUGCCGCGUCCGGGGUGAAAUCCCACGGCGCAACCGUGGAACGGCCCCGGGUACGGGCGGCCUCGAGGGGGGUAGGGGCGGGCGGAACUGUGGGUGGAGCGGUGAAAUGCGUUGAGAUCCACAGGAACUCCGGUGGCGAAGGCGGCCCGCUGGCCCCCAUCUGACGCUGAGGCGCGAAAGCCAGGGGAGCGAACGGGAUUAGAUACCCGAGUAGUC